UACGUAGGUGUCGAGCGUUAUCCGGAAUUACUGGGCGUAAAGGGCACGCAGGCGGUCUGGACAGUUCAGCGUGAAAGCUCCCGGCUUAACUGGGAGAGGUCGUUGAAAACUAUCAGACUUGAGACAGGGAGAGGAAAGCGGAAUUCCCGGUGGAGUGGUGGAAUGCGUAGAGAUCGGGAAGAACACCCGUGGCGAAAGCGGCUUUCUGGCCCUGGUCUGACGCUGAGGUGCGAAAGCGUGGGGAGCGAACGGG
This 253-nucleotide unclassified non-coding RNA is filed under the name uncultured Caldilineaceae bacterium. Its description in RNAcentral is "contains 16S-23S intergenic spacer region". It matches the Rfam family "Bacterial small subunit ribosomal RNA", at positions 524 to 776 of the family's 1533-position model. The record is from RNAcentral. Lineage: Bacteria; Bacillati; Chloroflexota; Caldilineae; Caldilineales; Caldilineaceae.